RNAcentral lists this ribosomal RNA (422 nucleotides) under uncultured cyanobacterium. Its description in RNAcentral is "bacterial SSU rRNA". It matches the Rfam family "Bacterial small subunit ribosomal RNA", at positions 358 to 795 of the family's 1533-position model. The record is from RNAcentral. Lineage: Bacteria; Bacillati; Cyanobacteriota.
GGAAUUUUCCGCAAUGGGCGCAAGCCUGACGGAGCAACGCCGCGUGAGGGAUGAAGGCCUCUGGGCUGUAAACCUCUUUUAUCAAGGAAGAAGAUCUGACGGUACUUGAUGAAUAAGCCACGGCUAAUUCCGUGCCAGCAGCCGCGGUAAUACGGGAGUGGCAAGCGUUAUCCGGAAUUAUUGGGCGUAAAGCGUCCGCAGGCGGCCCUUCAAGUCUGCUGUUAAAAAGUGGAGCUUAACUCCAUCAUGGCAGUGGAAACUGUUGGGCUUGAGUGUGGUAGGGGCAGAGGGAAUUCCCGGUGUAGCGGUGAAAUGCGUAGAUAUCGGGAAGAACACCAGUGGCGAAGGCGCUCUGCUGGGCCAUCACUGACGCUCAUGGACGAAAGCCAGGGGAGCGAAAGGGAUUAGAUACCCCAGUAGUC